GACGAACGCUGGCGGCGUGCUUAAUACAUGCAAGUCAACUUGACUUUAGAUAGCAAUAUCGAAAAGUAGGGUGGCGCACGGGUGCGUAACGCGUAGGUAAUCUGCCCUGAGGUCUGACAUAACCCGUCGAAAGGCGGCUAACAUCAGAUGAUAUAUAAUCACGACAUCGUGGAAAUAUCAAAUCUUCGGAGCCUUGGGAUGAGCCUGCGUCUGAUUAGGUAGUUGGCGGAGUAAUAGCCCACCAAGCCUACGAUCAGUAGCUGGUCUGAGAGGAUGAUCAGCCACACUGGAACUGAGACACGGUCCAGACUCCUACGGGAGCAGCAGUUAAGGAAUAUU
This 339-nucleotide ribosomal RNA is filed under the name uncultured bacterium. RNAcentral's name for it is "bacterial SSU rRNA". It matches the Rfam family "Bacterial small subunit ribosomal RNA", at positions 28 to 365 of the family's 1533-position model. The record is from RNAcentral.